UUUGGCACUCUGUGCAGAAGAAG
RNAcentral lists this non-coding RNA (23 nucleotides) under Cricetulus griseus (Chinese hamster). Lineage: Eukaryota; Metazoa; Chordata; Mammalia; Rodentia; Cricetidae. The record is from RNAcentral.